AUUGAACGCUGGCGGCAGGCCUAACACAUGCCAGUCGAGCGGAUGAAGGGAGCUUGCUCCUGGAUUCAGCGGCGGACGGGUGAGUAAUGCCUAGGAAUCUGCCUGGUAGUGGGGGAUAACGUCCGGAAACGGGCGCUAAUACCGCAUACGUCCUGAGGGAGAAAGUGGGGGAUCUUCGGACCUCACGCUAUCAGAUGAGCCUAGGUCGGAUUAGCUAGUUGGUGGGGUAAAGGCCUACCAAGGCGACGAUCCGUAACUGGUCUGAGAGGAUGAUCAGUCACACUGGAACUGAGACACGGUCCAGACUCCUACGGGAGGCAGCAGUGGGGAAUAUUGGACAAUGGGCGAAAGCCUGAUCCAGCCAUGCCGCGUGUGUGAAGAAGGUCUUCGGAUUGUAAAGCACUUUAAGUUGGGAGGAAGGGCAGUAAGUUAAUACCUUGCUGUUUUGACGUUACCAACAGAAUAAGCGCCGGCUAACUUCGUG
RNAcentral lists this ribosomal RNA (484 nucleotides) under uncultured bacterium. Its description in RNAcentral is "partial 16S ribosomal RNA". It matches the Rfam family "Bacterial small subunit ribosomal RNA", at positions 30 to 507 of the family's 1533-position model. The record is from RNAcentral.